Molecule: long non-coding RNA, 472 nt
Filed under: Mytilus galloprovincialis (Mediterranean mussel)
Lineage: Eukaryota; Metazoa; Mollusca; Bivalvia; Mytilida; Mytilidae
Source: RNAcentral
GGGUGUUUAUUUUCAAAUUGGAAUAUGACUGCUUUGCUUCACUUACAGUCUAUUCUGUUUAUUUCAUAAGGUUCAACAAAUGUAAUAUGUAAUGUAAUAUUAUGGUUGGAAGGUUAGAAAAGUGGGGGGGGGGUGGUAGGUUUAUUUUUUAAAGAUAUACAUGUAGAUUCUUGAAAAGAUUAUGUUUGGUCGGAGAGCCUGAUUAUAAAUAGAAUCAUUUUUUUUUUCAGAAAUUUUAUAUAUACAAGAUCGAUUAUCUAUAACUUGGGUUUAGCUUCAGAGGUUUGUAAAGGUAUAUUGCAGUUCGCUUGUCAGGGUUUUUGAUUUUUUGUCAGAUUUUCGGAAACCUCAGGUUUUAUUCAUUUGAAUACCAAAAAAAAAAAAAAUGGCAUUGACCCCCAUUUAUCUUUUUAUAAAUCUUUUACAUGUAUAAUGAUAUUAAGCAAUCUGUAAAAGUCUUAUAAAAUUCAAA